CCUUUCCAAUGCAGCUGAACUGCGGCGGUUGAGCUAGCUACUUCGGUGGCGGCUCCCUCCCAGUUUCCUGUAUUACACCCUUGUUUUUUUGCGCACUCAAUGUUUCCUCGGCGGGCUUGCCUGCCGACUGGACAACCUUAUAACCUUUUUUAAUUUCAAUCAGCGUCUGAAAUGAUCAAAAAUCAUUA
RNAcentral lists this unclassified non-coding RNA (188 nucleotides) under uncultured fungus. Its description in RNAcentral is "sequence contains ITS1". Lineage: Eukaryota; Fungi. The record is from RNAcentral.